CAGCAGCCGCGGUAAUACGUAGGUGGCAGGCGUUGUCCGGAACUAUUGGGCGUAAAGGGCUCGCAGGCGGUUUCUUAAGUCUGAUGUGAAAGCCCCCGGCUCAACCGGGGAGGGUCAUUGGAAACUGGGAAACUUGAGUGCAGAAGAGGAGAGUGGAAUUCCACGUGUAGCGGUGAAAUGCGUAGAGAUGUGGAGGAACACCAGUGGCGAAGGCGACUCUCUGGUCUGUAACUGACGCUGAGGAGCGAAAGCGUGGGGAGCGAACGGGAUUAGAUACCCCAGUAGUCCCUGUCUCUUAUAC
RNAcentral lists this ribosomal RNA (301 nucleotides) under uncultured bacterium. RNAcentral describes it as "partial 16S ribosomal RNA". It matches the Rfam family "Bacterial small subunit ribosomal RNA", at positions 509 to 807 of the family's 1533-position model. The record is from RNAcentral.